GUAAAUAUUUAUUAUCUACAAGCAGGAGUAUAAGGAUUGGAGGUAGUAGUAAUCCUAGCUUGCUAACAAGCAAUUUCCCUUCCCUUUCUCGGAGAACCCAAAGACCGACAAAAGAAGAGAAGCAGAAACCAGCUGAGCUUCGAUUCUACUACAGUACUACAGUCCAAAGCUACAAGCUGGUUCCUUUAAAACUUAAUAAUAAAAAGAAAAAAAAAAAACGCUCUAUAAACCUAACAAAAACAAAAGGGUUGUUAGGGUUUUAAUGUCCAGGAGAUUCCGGGGACAAAACCAUCAUCCCUCAGGUAAAAAUCUCCUUCUUGGAUAACUUCCACACACGCAAGAGAAAGGGAAAAAAAAAAGAGAGAGAGAGAGCGAGAACACUCUCCUCUGACCUCGGUAGCAGGUACUAGUAAUUAAAUAAGGCUAUGCUUGAUUCACCAGAUCGUUUGAAUCUAUGAAUGUGCCAUGAAACCCGUAGGGAACCCUGGAUGGUAGCUUAACCGUAGCUUCUAAUUGUAAAUUCAUGGCAUUCACAAUUUGAAGUUCCGAUUUCCACUUCUUCUCGUCAUGGACAAAAGCAAGAAUGUACCCAUCAUCGUCUGAUUCGCUAUUAGGGUCCCUUGGCAGGAAAAAUGGCUCCCCACCAUAUUUUUCAUCGCCAUAUAUAUACUUCUUUACUUCCCCAGUAAAAAGAUCAACCUUGGCAAAACCAGACACCUUAGGCCAGGGCUCAACAAUGGCUAGGUAGGCAUAUUGAGUCUUUCUCCCAAGCCUGUUCCGGUUCACCAUCCCGGCCUCUAAAUUCACUUGGUUUGAUUCUUCAAUUAUAGGGCGGCGCGUGGACUUGCCCGUCUUUAAAUUGAGCCUGAUUUCUGAUAAUACGCUCUCUAAACUCUCGUCGCUUUCGUUGAAGAUGGAGUCCGGUGGAGUCAUGCAAGAUCCGAUCACUACUACUUCAUUGGAUUCCGGCUCCUCCCAUGCAUUCCAUAAAUGGAAGCAGAAAGUGUCCGGUGAUUCCACCCAGAUAAUAUCCUUAGCAUCACUAGCAUUCUUUGCAAGAAUUCCAAAACGAGACUUCUUGUCCUUGUCAUAAAUAACCGGAGAGCCACCUCUUAUCAUUUCUUGAAGCUUGAAAACGACUUGUUGGUCAGGUAUCACCACGAAAUUCUCAGUGAUAGCGAAAUCAUGCAUCAUGGUUGGCACUGGGAGAGGGAUAUCGACGUCCGGUGAUUUUGUCGCGUCCGGGAAGAAUCUGAAGUACUUGAGGUACGGCUUUUGGACGACGUCGUAGCUCAGAGCAAAUAGCUCUUUAGAAACUGGAUCAAUCUUUGGGUGAGCAAUCAUUGUGUGCUCAAGUUGGCCAUCGAAAUUGUACCGCCUAACAGUUUCAAGAUCGCCGCUGGAAGUGAUACGCACUUGGUAAGGAACAUCGUCCUCAGACAUGGCAAGAAGCCUGUCAUUGAAGUAGACAAGCCCUGCGUUAGCCACUCCAGUUCCUUUGGUGUGAUCAACAAGCCCACAUAAUCCUCUGGCAUAGAAAAGGAGCAAUCUUGCUAUACCAGAGUGGCCAUGAAGCUCGCCAAUUGCUUUAGGAAACACUGGCCUACCUAAUACUCUCUCUUGUUUCAGCCUUUCUGUUUCAGUGAAACGACAAGCAUAGCUUGCAUUGCCCUUGUCAAUGGUCACAGCGUGGACCAUGCCGUCUCCGUCGAAUAAAUGGUGGCCGGCGAUAGGCUCGAAAAGUGGGUUGGCACCGUUUCGCACGUAGACACCAUUAAUGCAUUCAGGGAUGGUUCCGGUGACCGGAAGCUCCUGCUGAACUGGCUGUUCAGGCACGGGAGCAUAGUUUCCGGAGAUUUGGACACGUGGAUCAGCAGUUUUGGGCAGCUGUUGUUGGCGCUCAUGAGAGACCAAGGCACCUUCUACCAUGUCUAAAGCUACAGCUGCUGCUCUUUGAAAGAGAUUCCACUGCGGUUGUUGAAGGUGGCCGGUUUUGCGUUUUACAGUGAGAAAGGAGUCAUCUUUGGGAAUUGCUGGUGCUCGAUAGGAUUGUUCAGGGAAAUGGAGAACAGAGGGAGAGUGUAGAGCGCAGUGAAUUUUGGUUCUUUUACUAUUGGGCUUUCUCUUGGCGAAGGAGACAUAGCCCAAAUCCAGCAGAGAACUAGAAGGGAAAGGGUGAGCGAAUUGGGUUGUAGCCCAAUUACCGGAGUUGGAGGCUCUAGUAGAUGCAGCCAUGGAGAGACGAAAAGUUAUGUGGGGUUUUGUUCAGUCUUGAAAGCAAGGGAAGAAGAGUCACUUCUAGCUUUUGGUAGAGAACUUGAGAGAUAUUGAGAGGGAGAGAAGAGAGUUUUUGG
This 2354-nucleotide unclassified non-coding RNA is filed under the name Hevea brasiliensis (rubber tree). Lineage: Eukaryota; Viridiplantae; Streptophyta; Magnoliopsida; Malpighiales; Euphorbiaceae. The record is from RNAcentral.